Molecule: ribosomal RNA, 460 nt
Filed under: uncultured bacterium
Lineage: Bacteria
Description: partial 16S ribosomal RNA
Rfam family: Bacterial small subunit ribosomal RNA
Source: RNAcentral
CCUACGUGAGGCAGCAGUGAGGAAUAUUGGUCAAUGGACGAGAGUCUGAACCAGCCAAGUAGCGUGAAGGAUGACUGCCCUAUGGGUUGUAAACUUCUUUUAUAUGGGAAUAAAAUGUUCCACGUGUGUGAUUUUGUAUGUACCAUAUGACUAAGGAUCGGCUAACUCCGUGCCAGCAGCCGCGGUAAUACGGAGGAUCCGAGCGUUAUCCGGAUUUAUUGGGUUUAAAGGGAGCGUAGGUGGAUUGAUAAGUCAGUUGUGAAAGUUUGCGGCUCAACCGUAAAAUUGCAGUUGAAACUGGCAUUCUUGAGUACAGUAGAGGUGGGCGGAAUUCGUGGUGUAGCGGUGAAAUGCUUAGAUAUCACGAAGAACUCCGAUUGCGAAGGCAGCUCACUGGACUGCAACUGACACUGAGGCUCGAAAGUGUGGGUAUCAAACAGGAUUAGAUACCCCAGUAGUC